GAUGAACGCUGGCGGCGUGCCUAAUACAUGCAAGUCGAGCGAACAGACGAGGAGCUUGCUCCUCUGACGUUAGCGGCGGACGGGUGAGUAACACGUGGAUAACCUACCUAUAAGACUGGGAUAACUUCGGGAAACCGGAGCUAAUACCGGAUAAUAUAUUGAACCGCAUGGUUCAAUAGUGAAAGACGGUUUUGCUGUCACUUAUAGAUGGAUCCGCGCCGCAUUAGCUAGUUGGUAAGGUGACGGCUUACCAAGGCAACGAUGCGUAGCCGACCUGAGAGGGUGAUCGGCCACACUGGAACUGAGACACGGUCCAGACUCCUACGGGAGGCAGCAGUAGGGAAUCUUCCGCAAUGGGCGAAAGCCUGACGGAGCAACGCCGCGUGAGUGAUGAAGGUCUUCGGAUCGUAAAACUCUGUUAUUAGGGAAGAACAAAUGUGUAAGUAACUAUGCACGUCUUGACGGUACCUAAUCAGAAAGCCACGGCUAACUACGU
RNAcentral lists this ribosomal RNA (496 nucleotides) under uncultured bacterium. Its description in RNAcentral is "partial 16S ribosomal RNA". It matches the Rfam family "Bacterial small subunit ribosomal RNA", at positions 28 to 506 of the family's 1533-position model. The record is from RNAcentral.